GAUGAACGCUAGCUACAGGCUUAACACAUGCAAGUCGCGGGGCAGCAUGGGGGUUGCUUGCAAUCCCUGAUGGCGACCGGCGCACGGGUGAGUAACGCGUAUCCAACCUGCCCUUCACCACGGGAUAACCCGGCGAAAGUCGGACUAAUACCGUAUGUUGUCCAUUGACGGCAUCCGAUUUGGACGAAAGGCUUAGCGGUGAGGGAUGGGGAUGCGUCCGAUUAGCUUGACGGCGGGGUAACGGCCCACCGUGGCAACGAUCGGUAGGGGUUCUGAGAGGAAGGUCCCCCACACUGGAACUGAGACACGGUCCAGACUCCUACGGGAGGCAGCAGUGAGGAAUAUUGGUCAAUGGGCGGAAGCCUGAACCAGCCAAGUAGCGUGCAGGAUGACGGCCCUAUGGGUUGUAAACUGCUUUUAUGCGGGGAUAAAUGAGCCCACG
This 442-nucleotide ribosomal RNA is filed under the name Prevotella sp. oral taxon 317. RNAcentral's name for it is "bacterial SSU rRNA". It matches the Rfam family "Bacterial small subunit ribosomal RNA", at positions 28 to 460 of the family's 1533-position model. The record is from RNAcentral. Lineage: Bacteria; Pseudomonadati; Bacteroidota; Bacteroidia; Bacteroidales; Prevotellaceae.